CAAUUUUUUUAGGAGGCUCUAGCUGCCUUCAACUUGUAAGCUUAGUUCAUUUCACUUAUUGAAUGAAACAGGUAAUUUACUAUCUUUCUCUCAAAAUAAAUAAAUAAAUAAAUAAAAGUUGAAGAUUCGAACUUUAUUUCAUCACAUCAAACUCAAAUUAUAAGAUGUGUGACGUUCUAAUUCUCAAAUUUUAAUUAAUUAUAAUUUUUUAUUUGAAUUAUGCGAUAUGUCGUAUUUUGGUUCUUGAUUUUUUUUCGAAUCGUAGUACGUAAUAUUCUAUUUGAUGAU
RNAcentral lists this long non-coding RNA (288 nucleotides) under Ananas comosus (pineapple). Its description in RNAcentral is "long non-coding RNA (ACOM_LNC028937)". The record is from RNAcentral. Lineage: Eukaryota; Viridiplantae; Streptophyta; Magnoliopsida; Poales; Bromeliaceae.